Molecule: ribosomal RNA, 2900 nt
Filed under: Klebsiella pneumoniae
Lineage: Bacteria; Pseudomonadati; Pseudomonadota; Gammaproteobacteria; Enterobacterales; Enterobacteriaceae
Description: bacterial LSU rRNA
Rfam family: Bacterial large subunit ribosomal RNA
Source: RNAcentral
UUAAGCGACUAAGCGUACACGGUGGAUGCCCUGGCAGUCAGAGGCGAUGAAGGACGUGCUAAUCUGCGAAAAGCGUCGGUAAGGUGAUAUGAACCGUUAUAACCGGCGAUGUCCGAAUGGGGAAACCCAGUGCAAUUCGUUGCACUAUCGUUAACUGAAUACAUAGGUUAACGAGGCGAACCGGGGGAACUGAAACAUCUAAGUACCCCGAGGAAAAGAAAUCAACCGAGAUUCCCCCAGUAGCGGCGAGCGAACGGGGAGCAGCCCAGAGUCUGAAUCAGCUUGUGUGUUAGUGGAACGGUCUGGAAAGUCCGACGGUACAGGGUGAUAGUCCCGUACACCAAAAUGCACAGGUUGUGAACUCGAAGAGUAGGGCGGGACACGUGGUAUCCUGUCUGAAUAUGGGGGGACCAUCCUCCAAGGCUAAAUACUCCUGACUGACCGAUAGUGAACCAGUACCGUGAGGGAAAGGCGAAAAGAACCCCGGCGAGGGGAGUGAAAAAGAACCUGAAACCGUGUACGUACAAGCAGUGGGAGCACCUUCGGGUGUGACUGCGUACCUUUUGUAUAAUGGGUCAGCGACUUAUAUUCUGUAGCAAGGUUAACCGUAUAGGGGAGCCGCAGGGAAACCGAGUCUUAACUGGGCGUUAAGUUGCAGGGUAUAGACCCGAAACCCGGUGAUCUAGCCAUGGGCAGGUUGAAGGUUGGGUAACACUAACUGGAGGACCGAACCGACUAAUGUUGAAAAAUUAGCGGAUGACUUGUGGCUGGGGGUGAAAGGCCAAUCAAACCGGGAGAUAGCUGGUUCUCCCCGAAAGCUAUUUAGGUAGCGCCUCGUGAAUUCAUCUUCGGGGGUAGAGCACUGUUUCGGCUAGGGGGUCAUCCCGACUUACCAACCCGAUGCAAACUACGAAUACCGAAGAAUGUUAUCACGGGAGACACACGGCGGGUGCUAACGUCCGUCGUGAAGAGGGAAACAACCCAGACCGCCAGCUAAGGUCCCAAAGUCAUGGUUAAGUGGGAAACGAUGUGGGAAGGCACAGACAGCCAGGAUGUUGGCUUAGAAGCAGCCAUCAUUUAAAGAAAGCGUAAUAGCUCACUGGUCGAGUCGGCCUGCGCGGAAGAUGUAACGGGGCUAAACCAUGCACCGAAGCUGCGGCAGCGACACUAUGUGUUGUUGGGUAGGGGAGCGUUCUGUAAGCCUGCGAAGGUGGCCUGUGAGGGUUGCUGGAGGUAUCAGAAGUGCGAAUGCUGACAUAAGUAACGAUAAAGCGGGUGAAAAGCCCGCUCGCCGGAAGACCAAGGGUUCCUGUCCAACGUUAAUCGGGGCAGGGUGAGUCGACCCCUAAGGCGAGGCCGAAAGGCGUAGUCGAUGGGAAACAGGUUAAUAUUCCUGUACUUGGUGUUACUGCGAAGGGGGGACGGAGAAGGCUAUGUUAGCCGGGCGACGGUUGUCCCGGUUUAAGCAUGUAGGCUGGUUAUCCAGGCAAAUCCGGAUAAUCAAGGCUGAGGUGUGAUGACGAGGCACUACGGUGCUGAAGUAACAAAUGCCCUGCUUCCAGGAAAAGCCUCUAAGCAUCAGGUAACAUUAAAUCGUACCCCAAACCGACACAGGUGGUCAGGUAGAGAAUACCAAGGCGCUUGAGAGAACUCGGGUGAAGGAACUAGGCAAAAUGGUGCCGUAACUUCGGGAGAAGGCACGCUGGUGUGUAGGUGAAGUCCCUGCGGAUGGAGCUGAGACCAGUCGAAGAUACCAGCUGGCUGCAACUGUUUAUUAAAAACACAGCACUGUGCAAACACGAAAGUGGACGUAUACGGUGUGACGCCUGCCCGGUGCCGGAAGGUUAAUUGAUGGGGUUAUCCGUAAGGAGAAGCUCUUGAUCGAAGCCCCGGUAAACGGCGGCCGUAACUAUAACGGUCCUAAGGUAGCGAAAUUCCUUGUCGGGUAAGUUCCGACCUGCACGAAUGGCGUAAUGAUGGCCAGGCUGUCUCCACCCGAGACUCAGUGAAAUUGAACUCGCUGUGAAGAUGCAGUGUACCCGCGGCAAGACGGAAAGACCCCGUGAACCUUUACUAUAGCUUGACACUGAACAUUGAGCCUUGAUGUGUAGGAUAGGUGGGAGGCUUUGAAGCGUGGACGCCAGUCUGCGUGGAGCCAACCUUGGAAUACCACCCUUUAAUGUUUGAUGUUCUAACGUUGGCCCCUGACCGGGGUUGCGGACAGUGUCUGGUGGGUAGUUUGACUGGGGCGGUCUCCUCCCAAAGCGUAACGGAGGAGCACGAAGGUUAGCUAAUCCUGGUCGGACAUCAGGAGGUUAGUGCAAUGGCAUAAGCUAGCUUGACUGCGAGCGUGACGGCGCGAGCAGGUGCGAAAGCAGGUCAUAGUGAUCCGGUGGUUCUGAAUGGAAGGGCCAUCGCUCAACGGAUAAAAGGUACUCCGGGGAUAACAGGCUGAUACCGCCCAAGAGUUCAUAUCGACGGCGGUGUUUGGCACCUCGAUGUCGGCUCAUCACAUCCUGGGGCUGAAGUAGGUCCCAAGGGUAUGGCUGUUCGCCAUUUAAAGUGGUACGCGAGCUGGGUUUAGAACGUCGUGAGACAGUUCGGUCCCUAUCUGCCGUGGGCGCUGGAGAAUUGAGGGGGGCUGCUCCUAGUACGAGAGGACCGGAGUGGACGCAUCACUGGUGUUCGGGUUGUCAUGCCAAUGGCACUGCCCGGUAGCUAAAUGCGGAAGAGAUAAGUGCUGAAAGCAUCUAAGCACGAAACUUGCCCCGAGAUGAGUUCUCCCUGAGACUUUAAGUCUCCUGAAGGAACGUUAAAGACGAUGACGUUGAUAGGCCGGGUGUGUAAGCGCAGCGAUGCGUUGAGCUAACCGGUACUAAUGAACCGUGAGGCUUAACCUU